This 467-nucleotide ribosomal RNA is filed under the name uncultured bacterium. Its description in RNAcentral is "partial 16S ribosomal RNA". It matches the Rfam family "Bacterial small subunit ribosomal RNA", at positions 28 to 507 of the family's 1533-position model. The record is from RNAcentral.
GACGAACGCUGGCGGCGUGCUUAACACAUGCAAGUCGAACGGAAAGGCCUCUUUCGGGGGGUACUCGAGUGGCGAACGGGUGAGUAACACGUGAGUAACCUGCCCUUGACUUUGGGAUAACUUCAGGAAACUGGGGCUAAUACCGGAUAGGAGCUCCUGCUGCAUGGUGGGGGUUGGAAAGUUUCGGCGGUUGGGGAUGGACUCGCGGCUUAUCAGCUUGUUGGUGGGGUAGUGGCUUACCAAGGCUUUGACGGGUAGCCGGCCUGAGAGGGUGACCGGCCACAUUGGGACUGAGGUACGGCCCAGACUCCUACGGGAGGCAGCAGUGGGGAAUAUUGCACAAUGGGUGGAAGCCUGAUGCAGCAACGCCGGGUGCGGGAUGACGGCCUUCGGGUUGGAAACCGCUUUCGCUCAUGACGAAGCUUUGUGUGACGGUAGUGGGUAAAGAAGCACCGGCUAACUACGUG